AAUACAUGCAAGUCGAACGAAGAUGAAAGCUUGCUUUCAUCUUAGUGGCGAACGGGUGAGUAAUACAUAAACAAUCUACCGCAGAGCCUGGGAUAACUAAUGGAAACGUUAGCUAAUACCGGAUAGGUUAAGGGAAGGCAUCUUCUCUUAAUUAAAGUUGGGCUACAACACCCUGCGAUGAGUUUAUGGCGCAUUAGCUAGUUGGUGAGGUAAUGGCUCACCAAGGCGAUGAUGCGUCGCCGACCUGAGAGGGUGACCGGCCACACUGGGACUGAGACACGGCCCAGACUCCUACGGGAGGCAGCAGUAGGGAAUUUUCGGCAAUGGGCGCAAGCCUGACCGAGCAACGCCGCGUGAGUGAAGAAGGCCUUCGGGUUGUAAAGCUCUGUUGUAAGGGAAGAACACUUAAAAGAGGGAAUGCUUUUAAGCUGACGGUACCUUACCAGAAAGCCACGGCUAACUACGUGCCAGCAGCCGCGGUAAUACGUAGGUGGCGAGCGUUAUCCGGAAUUAUUGGGCGUAAAGGGUGCGUAGGCGGUUCAUUAAGUCUGUGGUGAAAGUGCGGGGCUCAACCCCGUAUGGCCAUAGAAACUGGUGAACUAAGUGCAGGAGAGGGCAGUGGAAUUCCAUGUGUAGCGGUAAAUGCGUAGAUAUAUGGAGGAACACCGGUGGCGAAGGCGGCUGCCUGGCCUGUAACUGACGCUGAGGCACGAAAGCGUGGG
This 722-nucleotide ribosomal RNA is filed under the name uncultured bacterium. RNAcentral describes it as "bacterial SSU rRNA". It matches the Rfam family "Bacterial small subunit ribosomal RNA", at positions 50 to 765 of the family's 1533-position model. The record is from RNAcentral.